RNAcentral lists this ribosomal RNA (275 nucleotides) under uncultured bacterium. RNAcentral describes it as "partial 16S ribosomal RNA". It matches the Rfam family "Bacterial small subunit ribosomal RNA", at positions 28 to 291 of the family's 1533-position model. The record is from RNAcentral.
AGUGAACGCUGGCGGCAGGCCUAACACAUGCAAGUCGAGCGGCAGCGCGUCCGACCACCCUCGGGUGGUCGGAUGGCGGCGAGCGGCGGACGGGUGAGGAAUGCAUCGGAAUCUGCCUCGUUGUGGGGGAUAACGUAGGGAAACUUACGCUAAUACCGCAUACGACCUACGGGUGAAAGUGGGGGACCUUCGGGCCUCACGCGAUGAGAUGAGCCGAUGCCGGAUUAGCUAGUUGGCGGGGUAAAGGCCCACCAAGGCGACGAUCCGUAGCUGGU